RNAcentral lists this ribosomal RNA (409 nucleotides) under bacterium. Its description in RNAcentral is "partial 16S ribosomal RNA". It matches the Rfam family "Bacterial small subunit ribosomal RNA", at positions 355 to 776 of the family's 1533-position model. The record is from RNAcentral.
UGGGGAAUAUUGCACAAUGGGCGAAAGCCUGAUGCAGCGACGCCGCGUGAGGGAUGACGGCCUUCGGGUUGUAAACCUCUUUCAGCAGGGACGAAGCGCAAGUGACGGUACCUGCAGAAGAAGCACCGGCUAACUCCGUGCCAGCAGCCGCGGUAAUACGUAGGGUGCAAGCGUUGUCCGGAAUUACUGGGCGUAAAUAGUUCGUAGGCGGUUUGUCGCGUCGUUUGUGAAAACCAGCAGCUCAACUGCUGGCUUGCAGGCGAUACGGGCAGACUUGAGUACUGCAGGGGAGACUGGAAUUCCUGGUGUAGAGGUGAAAUGCGCAGAUAUCAGGAGGAAAACCGGUGGGGAAGGCGAGUCUCUGGGCAGUAACUGACGCUGAGGAACGAAAGCGUGGGUAGCGAACAGG